Molecule: ribosomal RNA, 695 nt
Filed under: uncultured Bacilli bacterium
Lineage: Bacteria; Bacillati; Bacillota; Bacilli
Description: bacterial SSU rRNA
Rfam family: Bacterial small subunit ribosomal RNA
Source: RNAcentral
CGAGCGGACCGACGGGAGCUUGCUCCCUUAGGUCAGCGGCGGACGGGUGAGUAACACGUGGGUAACCUGCCUGUAAGACUGGGAUAACUCCGGGAAACCGGGGCUAAUACCGGAUGCUUGAUUGAACCGCAUGGUUCAAUCAUAAAAGGUGGCUUUCAGCUACCACUUACAGAUGGACCCGCGGCGCAUUAGCUAGUUGGUGAGGUAACGGCUCACCAAGGCGACGAUGCGUAGCCGACCUGAGAGGGUGAUCGGCCACACUGGGACUGAGACACGGCCCAGACUCCUACGGGAGGCAGCAGUAGGGAAUCUUCCGCAAUGGACGAAAGUCUGACGGAGCAACGCCGCGUGAGUGAUGAAGGUUUUCGGAUCGUAAAACUCUGUUGUUAGGGAAGAACAAGUACCGUUCGAAUAGGGCGGCACCUUGACGGUACCUAACCAGAAAGCCACGGCUAACUACGUGCCAGCAGCCGCGGUAAUACGUAGGUGGCAAGCGUUGUCCGGAAUUAUUGGGCGUAAAGCGCGCGCAGGCGGUUUCUUAAGUCUGAUGUGAAGCCCCCGGCUCAACCGGGGAGGGUCAUUGGAAACUGGGGAACUUGAGUGCAGAAGAGGAGAGUGGAUUCCACGUGUAGCGGUGAAAUGCGUCGCGAUGUGGAGGAACACCAGUGGCGAAGGCGACUCUCUGGUCUGUAACU